UGGGGAAUAUUGCACAAUGGAGGGAACUCUGAUGCAGCGACGCCGCGUGAACGAAGAAGGCUUUCGAGUCGUAAAGUUCUUUUAUAUGGGAAGAUAAUGACGGUACCAUAAGAAAAAGCCCCGGCUAACUACGUGCCAGCAGCCGCGGUAUUACGUAGGGGGCUAGCGUUGUCCGGAAUCACUGGGCGUAAAGGGUUCGCAGGCGGAAAUGCAAGUCAGGUGUAAAAGGCAGUAGCUUAACUACUGUAAGCAUUUGAAACUGCAUAUCUUGAGAAGAGUAGAGGUAAGUGGAAUUUUUAGUGUAGCGGUGAAAUGCGUAGAUAUUAAAAAGAAUACCGGUGGCGAAGGCGACUUACUGGGCUCAUUCUGACGCUGAGGAACGAAAGCGUGGGUAGCAAACAGG
Molecule: ribosomal RNA, 403 nt
Filed under: Fusobacteriota bacterium
Lineage: Bacteria; Fusobacteriati; Fusobacteriota
Description: Fusobacteria bacterium partial 16S ribosomal RNA
Rfam family: Bacterial small subunit ribosomal RNA
Source: RNAcentral